This 1892-nucleotide long non-coding RNA is filed under the name Sinocyclocheilus grahami. Its description in RNAcentral is "lncRNA (ENSSGRG00000013178.1)". The record is from RNAcentral. Lineage: Eukaryota; Metazoa; Chordata; Actinopteri; Cypriniformes; Cyprinidae.
CAGACCAAGCCAGUUGAGGUGAAACGGUUCUGUCCCUUCUGUGAUAGUACAGAGCAUUAUUUGAGUCAAUGCAAAGCAUUUGCUAAACUUACCACUGAUCAGGCCAAAGACUGGAUUCGAGAUAAUAAUCGCUGUUGGCGCUGUGCCAGGACUCAUCAUGCUGCUCAGUGUGACCUGAAAAGGCCCUGCAACCUGUGUCAAGGUAUGCAUCUUCGCCCUCUGCAUAAAGUAAAUGUCAGAUCUUACCAAACGGAUACCGUCAGUGCCAAGAAAAGUUGCCUUACCAGUUCCUCUCCAGACAGAUUUUACCUGAACAAACCUGUUGUUGGGAACCGUGUUAUGCUCAAGGUAGUACCUGUGCAUGUUCAUUAUGAAGACCGUACUUUAGAAACAUUUGCACUUCUGGAUGACGGCUCUGAGAGAACCAUCUUGCUCCCAACUGCUGCCAAAGCCCUGGGCAUACGAGGUACACCUGAAGAUCUCCCUUUGCACACUGUGCGACAAGAUAUUGAAGUUCUUCAUGGGUCCUCUAUCUCCUUUCAAGUAUCCUCAACCCACAAGCCUCAAAUCCUUUACAAGAUUGAACAUGCCUUCACUGCAGAUCGCCUCAAUCUGUCACGACAGUCUUAUCCUGUGGAUCAACUGCAGAAGAAGUAUAGACACUUACGUAAUCUUCCCAUCCGGCCUGUGAAAGAUGCUCAGCCUCUUCUUCUGAUUGGGUCAGAUCAACCACAUCUCAUUACACCAAUCGAGCCUAUCAGAUUAGGUUCUCCAGGUGGACCUGCUGCUGUCCUCACACGCCUGGGAUGGACCCUCCAGGGCCCAGCAUCAUUCAUGGGGUGGCCUGCAUCCUCCCAACAAUGCCUGCUGACAUCGGUCCUUCCACCUCAAGAUGAGCUCUUCAAGAAUGUCCAAAGACUCUGGCAGAUAGAUGCUGUUCCACACAGGGAUGAGAAAGAGGUGACUCGAUCUAAACAAGAUCAGGAUGCUUUUAAGUUACUCGAAACCAAGACCAUCCGCAUCGAAGUAAACGGCAUUCGUCGACUGGCAACGCCCUUACUACGGCAGAAGGGUAUGCCUCAGUUGCAUGCCCCUAAGGAGUCAGUCAUGCCCAAUCUGCGCAGUAUUGAGAAACGUUUGUUGAAGGAUCCAGUUAAAGCAGAGACCUAUAGAGCAGAGAUGGAGAAGCUCAGGCAGACAGGAGCUGUCCAGGAAGUAAGUAGGGAGACAACAGACUCUGACGAAUGUUGGUAUAUACCACACCACAUUGUCAGUCAUAAUGGGAAAUCUCGUGUUGUUUUCAACUGUUCCCACCAAUAUCAUGGGCAAAGUCUCAACCAGUAUCUGUUGCCUGGCCCUACACUUGGCGCAUCCUUGCUAGGUGUACUCAUCAAAUUUAGGGAGCAUCCAGUUGCAGUAAGUGGUGACAUCAAGGCGAUGUUCCAUCAGGUCCGCCUCCUUUCUGAAGAUCGUUCCUUACUGCGGUUCCUUUGGCGUGAUCUGAAAGUGGAUGAACCCCCUAAAGUCUUUGAAUGGCAGGUGUUACCAUUUGGUACUACAUGUAGUCCAUGCUGUGCCACUUAUGCUCUGCAGCACCAUGUGACGGAGCAUAGCAUGACUAGUGAGUCCAUCAGGUUCUCAGUGGACAAAUGUUUUUACGUGGACAACUGCCUUCAGAGUCUGAGCACCCGUGAGGCAGCCAGGUACUUGGUCGAUGGAUUGAGAGAGAUGCUUUGCAAAGCUGGAUUUGAGAUACGACAAUGGGCCAGUAAUGUUCCCAGCGUUGUGUCCUGACCGACACACCAGGAGUGUAUACUGCUGAUAGUUAGAACCAGAGCCUAGCAGUCUUAUUUCCUCUCCAACAAUCUGUAUUGUUAAAAGUGCUAUAUAAA